This 463-nucleotide ribosomal RNA is filed under the name uncultured Klebsiella sp. RNAcentral describes it as "bacterial SSU rRNA". It matches the Rfam family "Bacterial small subunit ribosomal RNA", at positions 338 to 795 of the family's 1533-position model. The record is from RNAcentral. Lineage: Bacteria; Pseudomonadati; Pseudomonadota; Gammaproteobacteria; Enterobacterales; Enterobacteriaceae.
CCUACGGGCGGCUGCAGUGGGGAAUAUUGCACAAUGGGCGCAAGCCUGAUGCAGCCAUGCCGCGUGUGUGAAGAAGGCCUUCGGGUUGUAAAGCACUUUCAGCGGGGAGGAAGGCGUUAAGGUUAAUAACCUUGGCGAUUGACGUUACCCGCAGAAGAAGCACCGGCUAACUCCGUGCCAGCAGCCGCGGUAAUACGGAGGGUGCAAGCGUUAAUCGGAAUUACUGGGCGUAAAGCGCACGCAGGCGGUCUGUCAAGUCGGAUGUGAAAUCCCCGGGCUCAACCUGGGAACUGCAUUCGAAACUGGCAGGCUAGAGUCUGGUAGAGGGGGGUAGAAUUCCAGGUGUAGCGGUGAAAUGCGUAGAGAUCUGGGGGAAUAGCGGUGGCGAAGGGGGCCCCCUGGACAAAGACUGACGCUCAGGUGCGAAAGCGUGGGGAGCAAACAGGAUUAGAUACCCGAAGUC